UGGGGAAUAUUGGACAAUGGGCGAAAGCCUGAUCCAGCCAUGCCGCGUGUGUGAAGAAGGUCUUCGGAUUGUAAAGCACUUUAAGUUGGGAGGAAGGGCAGUAAGCUAAUACCUUGCUGUUUUGACGUUACCGACAGAAUAAGCACCGGCUAACUCUGUGCCAGCAGCCGCGGUAAUACAGAGGGUGCAAGCGUUAAUCGGAAUUACUGGGCGUAAAGCGCGCGUAGGUGGUUUGUUAAGUUGGAUGUGAAAGCCCCGGGCUCAACCUGGGAACUGCCUCUAAAACUGGCAGGCUAGAGUACGGUAGAGGGUGGUGGAAUUUCCUGUGUAGCGGUGAAAUGCGUAGAUAUAGGAAGGAACACCAGUGGCGAAGGCGACCACCUGGACUGAUACUGACACUGAGGUGCGAAAGCGUGGGGAGCAAACA
Molecule: ribosomal RNA, 427 nt
Filed under: uncultured bacterium
Lineage: Bacteria
Description: partial 16S ribosomal RNA
Rfam family: Bacterial small subunit ribosomal RNA
Source: RNAcentral